This 2264-nucleotide small RNA is filed under the name Pan troglodytes (chimpanzee). RNAcentral's name for it is "retained intron". The record is from RNAcentral. Lineage: Eukaryota; Metazoa; Chordata; Mammalia; Primates; Hominidae.
GGGUCAGAGACAAAGGGUAGUUGAUUACGCAAGGCACAAUAAGUAACAUGUACUUCUUGUUGGUUUGUAUCCUUUUUCUGAGUCUACCUAAAUUCCAUGGGGGUGACACUGGUGGGCCUCUACAUUAGCCUGCUCAUGCAGUACAUUGCAUGACAUACAAUGGGCAUUAGGCUUAGGGAAUCUGCUUUAAUAGUGGCAGAAACAAGCCUGAUAUUGGUCCAGGGGGAGUCAUUGCCUUAUCUCUCCAGGUUGUUAUCUGCAAAUACAACUCUGAGAAAUGGCUCAGGUAAGAACAUCAUGGUCUUGCAUUGGUGGCAUACCCAGCAAGGAUGCUCAGGGCUGAUGAAGAAGUGUCUCUUCCAACACAGGGAUAUUUUUGAAAUGAAUUUAUUACAAUGGAGAUGAAUAAAGCAAACAUUUACUCAUCAUAUGCCUGAGAAAAUGUCAUGUCCCAAUGCCAGGAUAUAAGUUGUCUAAGUUAAUUUUAAUAAUCCUGUGAGGUUAUGGUUAUUUUUGUCCUAUUGCAGAUGAUGAACUGAGGGCCGGAGAGAUUAGGGAGCUGGACAGAGUUCAACCAGCCAGGAAGUGAGCUAGGACUGGUGGAGCAGAGAUUCUAUCCUGGUUUAUCUGGCCCCAAAGCAGAUCACCUUGACCGUUAUUGAAUAUUUGACAGGUGGGGCCUAGAGGAGGGCAAUAGGUUGACCAAGGGCACACAGAGCAUAGGAGACAGAGCUGAGACUUGAAUGCAGGUCUCUUGAUUCCAAGCCAUGGGUCUUCAUCUCCUAUACUAACAGUUUCUGCUCGCAUCCCAGUCUGGUCCUUGCUGGCAAUGGGUUCCUGGGGCAGAGGACCAGGAGGCUGGUUGUGGGGGAGUCCAUCCUGAUGUUUGGGACUGGGGAGGGGCACAAAGGAGGCAGGGCCCAGCUGUAGCUCUCUUCCCUUCUCUGGCCAGGACAAGUGGCAGCACCUGGCCUCAGAGGGCAGCAGUCGUCUGGACAUGUUUGAGCACAUCAGCCUCAUGACCUUGGACAGUCUGCAGAAAUGCAUCUUCAGCUUUGACAGCCAUUGUCAGGAGAGGCCCAGUGAAUAUAUUGCCACCAUCUUGGAGCUCAGUGCCCUUGUAGAAAAAAGAAACCAGCAUAUCCUCCAGCACAUGGACUUUCUGUAUUACCUCUCCCAUGACGGGCGGCGCUUCCACAGGGCCUGCCGCCUGGUGCAUGACUUCACAGACGCUGUCAUCCGGGAGCGGCGUCGCACCCUCCCCACUCAGGGUAUUGAUGAUUUUCUCAAAGACAAAGCCAAGUCCAAGACUUUGGAUUUCAUUGAUGUGCUUCUGCUGAGCAAGGAUGAAGAUGGGAAGGCAUUGUCAGAUGAGGAUAUAAGAGCAGAGGCUGACACCUUCAUGUUUGGAGGCCAUGACACCACGGCCAGUGGCCUCUCCUGGGUCCUGUACAACCUUGCGAGGCACCCAGAGUACCAGGAGCGCUGCCGACAGGAGGUGCAAGAGCUUCUGAAGGACCGCGAUCCUAAAGAGAUUGAAUGGGACGACCUGGCCCAGCUGCCCUUCCUGACCAUGUGCGUGAAGGAGAGCCUGAGGUUACAUCCCCCAGCUCCCUUCAUCUCCCGAUGCUGCACCCAGGACAUUGUUCUCCCAGAUGGCCGAGUCAUCCCCAAAGGCAUUACCUGCGUCAUCAAUAUUAUAGGGGUCCAUCACAACCCAACUGUGUGGCCGGAUCCUGAGGUGCUGCCUUCCCCAUUCACCACCACCACCCCUAUCCUCUACUUUUGUGUGUGUGUGUGUGAAUUCCAAGGUUCCUAGUGGAGGGGGCAGGGUUUUGAUGAGGAAAAUCCAACAUCACCUUGCCCCAAAACACACACAACUGUCUCUCCAAGGCUGCUGGACAUAGGAAAUCCCACGGGCGAACCUUCUUUGUCUCACCUGCAGGUCUACGACCCCUUCCGCUUUGACCCAGAGAACAGCAAGGGGAGGUCCCCUCUGGCUUUUAUUCCGUUCUCCGCAGGGCCCAGGAACUGCAUCGGGCAGGCGUUCGCCAUGGCGGAGAUGAAAGUGGUCCUGGCGUUGAUGCUGCUGCACUUCCGGUUCCUGCCAGACCACACUGAGCCCCGCAGGAAGCCGGAACUGAUCAUGCGCGCCGAGGGCGGGCUUUGGCUGCGGGUGGAGCACCUGAAUGUAGGCUUGCAGUGACUUUCUGACCCAUCCACCUGUCUUUUUGCAGAUUGUCAUGAAUAAAACGGUGCUGUCA